RNAcentral lists this ribosomal RNA (388 nucleotides) under uncultured bacterium. Its description in RNAcentral is "bacterial SSU rRNA". It matches the Rfam family "Bacterial small subunit ribosomal RNA", at positions 29 to 419 of the family's 1533-position model. The record is from RNAcentral.
AUUGAACGCUGGCGGCAUGCCUUACACAUGCAAGUCGAACGGCAGCACGGGGGCAACCCUGGUGGCGAGUGGCGGACGGGUGAGUAAUGCAUCGGAACGUGCCCUGAAGUGGGGGAUAACGCAGCGAAAGCUACGCUAAUACCGCAUAUUCUGUGAGCAGGAAAGCAGGGGAUCGCAAGACCUUGCGCUUUGGGAGCGGCCGAUGUCGGAUUAGCUAGUUGGUGGGGUAAAGGCCUACCAAGGCGACGAUCCGUAGCGGGUCUGAGAGGAUGAUCCGCCACACUGGGACUGAGACACGGCCCAGACUCCUACGGGAGGCAGCAGUGGGGAAUUUUGGACAAUGGGCGAAAGCCUGAUCCAGCCAUGCGCGUGAGUGAAGAAGGCCUUC